CCAGACUCCUACGGGAGGCAGCAGUGGGGGAUAUUGCACAAUGGGGGGAACCCUGAUGCAGCGACGCCGCGUGGGUGAAGGAGCGUUUCGGCGCGUAAAGCCCUAUCGGCAGGGAAGAAGGAGGACGGUACCUGACUAAGAAGCCCCGGCUAACUACGUGCCAGCAGCCGCGGUAAUACGUAGGGGGCAAGCGUUAUCCGGAUUUACUGGGUGUAAAGGGGGCGCAGACGGCAGCGCAAGCCAGGAGUGAAAGCCCGGGGCCCAACCCCGGGACUGCAUUGGAAACUGCCGGGCUGGAGUGUCGGAGGGGUAAGCGGAAUUCCUGGUGUAGCGGUGAAAUGCGUAGAUAUCAGGAGGAACACCGGUGGCGAAGGCGGCUUACUGGACGACAACUGACGCUGAGGCUCGAAAGCGUGGGGAGCAAACAGGAUUAGAUACCCGAGUAC
This 446-nucleotide ribosomal RNA is filed under the name uncultured bacterium. Its description in RNAcentral is "partial 16S ribosomal RNA". It matches the Rfam family "Bacterial small subunit ribosomal RNA", at positions 331 to 793 of the family's 1533-position model. The record is from RNAcentral.